AACGAACGCUGGCGGCAUGCCUAACACAUGCAAGUCGAACGAGACCUUCGGGUCUAGUGGCGCACGGGUGCGUAACGCGUGGGAACCUGCCCUUAGGUUCGGAAUAACUCCCCGAAAGGGGUGCUAAUACCGGAUAAUGUCUUCGGACCAAAGAUUUAUCGCCUUUGGAUGGGCCCGCGUUGGAUUAGCUAGUUGGAAGGGUAAAAGCCUACCAAGGCGACGAUCCAUAGCUGGUCUGAGAGGAUGAUCAGCCACACUGGGACUGAGACACGGCCCAGGCUCCUACGGGAGGCAGCAGUGGGGAAUAUUGGACAAUGGGCGAAAGCCUGAUCCAGCAAUGCCGCGUGAGUGAUGAAGGCCUUAGGGUUGUAAAGCUCUUUUACCCGGGAUGAUAAUGACAGUACCGGGAGAAUAAGCUCCGGCUAACUCCGUG
This 433-nucleotide ribosomal RNA is filed under the name uncultured bacterium. Its description in RNAcentral is "partial 16S ribosomal RNA". It matches the Rfam family "Bacterial small subunit ribosomal RNA", at positions 29 to 507 of the family's 1533-position model. The record is from RNAcentral.